RNAcentral lists this small RNA (156 nucleotides) under Aeromicrobium marinum DSM 15272. It matches the Rfam family "Bacterial large subunit ribosomal RNA", at positions 13 to 167 of the family's 2925-position model. Lineage: Bacteria; Bacillati; Actinomycetota; Actinomycetes; Propionibacteriales; Nocardioidaceae. The record is from RNAcentral.
AAGUGCACAUGGUGGAUGCCUUGGCAUCGAGAGCCGAUGAAGGACGUUGGAGUCUGCGAAAAGCCCCGGGAAGGUGACAACCGACCUGUGAUCCGGGGAUGUCCGAAUGGGGAAACCCACCUGGAGGAAAGUCCAGGUACCUGCGCCUGAACACAU